RNAcentral lists this long non-coding RNA (317 nucleotides) under Elaeis guineensis (African oil palm). RNAcentral's name for it is "long non-coding RNA (EGUI_LNC052268)". The record is from RNAcentral. Lineage: Eukaryota; Viridiplantae; Streptophyta; Magnoliopsida; Arecales; Arecaceae.
GAGUGAUGAGGAUUGUGUAGAGAUACUGAAAUGAUGCAAGAAGGCUGUUCCAUCCAAAGAAGAAGGGAUAAGGUGAUUAUUAUUGAAAUAGUAACCAAGCUGGAUGUUGGCUUUCCUGAGUUGGCCGAAACAUAGCUACUCUUUGACAUUAGGGCUGGAACAUAGCUGAGCUUGGGCCGAAACACAACUGGGCUUGGGCCGGGCCUCACCCCUACCCAAGUCUGGCCCAAAUUUUUUUUUAAACUUCAGACUGGGCUUAGGGAUGAAGAUUUUUUAAAUUUUAUAGCCCAAACCUGACCCAAGCCUAGCCCGAACCC